Molecule: ribosomal RNA, 446 nt
Filed under: Cladonia terrae-novae
Lineage: Eukaryota; Fungi; Ascomycota; Lecanoromycetes; Lecanorales; Cladoniaceae
Description: SSU rRNA
Rfam family: Bacterial small subunit ribosomal RNA
Source: RNAcentral
AUUAGAUACCCCAAUAGUCAAAGCAGAAAAUGAUGAAUGUCAUAGAUUAGAUAAACAAUUUAUUCUAUAAAUGAAAGUGUAAGCAUUCCACCUCAAGAGUAAUUUGGCAACAUUGGAACUGAAAUCAUUAGACCGUUUCUGAAACCAGUAGUGAAGUAUGUUGUUUAAUUUGAUGAUACGCAAAAAACCUUACCACAAUUUGAAUAUUUAUAUAUAUCUUUAUUGAUUUUUACUAAUAUAUUUGUAAAUAAUCAAAAUGAUGCUUAUACCCCGUUUGUGAAAUUAAGCAUCAAAAAAGAUAAUAUAUUUACAAGCGUUGCACGGCUGUCUUCAGUUAAUGUCGUGAGAUUUUGGUUAGUUCCAUUAAAUUAACGUAAACCCUUACUUUAUUUUUAUAUAAAGUAGUUCUCCGCUAUAUUGGAUAUGAUAACAGGGACUAAGACAAG